AGCUUUGCUCAGUGGCAGUAUCGUAGCCAAUGAGGUUUAUCCGAGGAGCGAUUAUUGCUAAUUAAAAUCCCAUCUAUAGUUUUCACAUGCACAAGGCUAUAAUACAGAUAGACGAGCAAGUAUAAAGGAUAAUUAUUAAUGUCUGCAUUUCUAAUUUAUACUCUUCUGGGAUAGGAAUUUCUACACAUUUAAACAUUAA
Molecule: small nuclear RNA, 199 nt
Organism: Lynx canadensis (Canada lynx)
Lineage: Eukaryota; Metazoa; Chordata; Mammalia; Carnivora; Felidae
Gene: U4
Rfam family: U4 spliceosomal RNA
About the family: U4 small nuclear RNA (U4 snRNA) is a component of the major U2-dependent spliceosome.
Source: Ensembl